RNAcentral lists this transfer RNA (64 nucleotides) under Sacculina confragosa. RNAcentral's name for it is "tRNA-Tyr". The record is from RNAcentral. Lineage: Eukaryota; Metazoa; Arthropoda; Thecostraca; Sacculinidae.
GUCUUAGUGGCCGAUUAUAAGCAGAAAUCUGUAAAAUUUCUUAUGAACUAAUAUUCCUAAGACC